GUGAGGAAUAUUGCGCAAUGGAGGCAACUCUGACGCAGCCAUGCCGCGUGCAGGAAGAAGGCGCUACGCGUUGUAAACUGCUUUUAACCGGGAAGAAACCCCAGGACGUGUCCUGGGUUGACGGUACCGGAGGAAUAAGCACCGGCUAACUUCGUGCCAGCAGCCGCGGUAAUACGAAGGGUGCAAGCGUUAUCCGGAUUCAUUGGGUUGAAAGGGUGCGUAGGCGGAGCGUUAAGUCAGUUGUGAAAUCCUGCAGCUUAACUGUAGACUUGCCAUUGAUACUGGCGCUCUUGAGUGCGCUUGAAGUGGGCGGAAUGUGCCGUGUAGCGGUGAAAUGCUUAGAUAUGGCACAGAACACCAAUUGCGAAGGCAGCUCACUAAGGCGAUACUGACGCUGAGGCACGAAAGCGUGGGGAUCGAACAGGAUUAGAAACCCUAGUAGUCC
This 445-nucleotide ribosomal RNA is filed under the name uncultured bacterium. RNAcentral's name for it is "partial 16S ribosomal RNA". It matches the Rfam family "Bacterial small subunit ribosomal RNA", at positions 354 to 796 of the family's 1533-position model. The record is from RNAcentral.